GUGAGGAAUAUUGGUCAAUGGGCGCAAGCCUGAACCAGCCAUGCCGCGUGCAGGAAGACGGUCCUAUGGAUUGUAAACUGCUUUUAUACAGGAAGAAACACCUCCACGUGUGGAGGCUUGACGGUACUGUAGGAAUAAGGAUCGGCUAACUCCGUGCCAGCAGCCGCGGUAAUACGGAGGAUCCAAGCGUUAUCCGGAAUCAUUGGGUUUAAAGGGUCCGUAGGCGGUCUUAUAAGUCAGUGGUGAAAGCCCAUCGCUCAACGAUGGAACUGCCAUUGAUACUGUAGGACUUGAAUGCUUGUGAAGUAACUAGAAUAUGUAGUGUAGCGGUGAAAUGCUUAGAUAUUACAUGGAAUACCAAUUGCGAAGGCAGGUUACUAACAAGUUAUUGACGCUGAUGGACGAAAGCGUGGGGAGCGAACAGGAUUAGAAACCCUUGUAGUCC
This 445-nucleotide ribosomal RNA is filed under the name uncultured bacterium. RNAcentral describes it as "bacterial SSU rRNA". It matches the Rfam family "Bacterial small subunit ribosomal RNA", at positions 354 to 796 of the family's 1533-position model. The record is from RNAcentral.